Molecule: ribosomal RNA, 406 nt
Filed under: uncultured bacterium
Lineage: Bacteria
Description: partial 16S ribosomal RNA
Rfam family: Bacterial small subunit ribosomal RNA
Source: RNAcentral
AUUGAACGCUGGCGGCAGGCCUAACACAUGCAAGUCGAACGAGUGGCGGACGGGUGAGUAAUGUCUGGGAAACUGCCUGAUGGAGGGGGAUAACUACUGGAAACGGUAGCUAAUACCGCAUACUAUUGGAGCGGCCGAUAGAGGAUUAGCUAGUUGGUGGGGUAAAGGCUCACCAAGGAAACGAUCCCUAGCUGGUUUGAGAGGACGAACAGCCACACUGGAACUGAGAAACGGUCCAGACUCCUACGGGAGGCAGCAGUUGGGAAUAUUGGACAAUGGGAGGAAGCCGGAUACAGCCAUCCCGCGUGUAUGAAGAAGGCCUUCGGGGUGUAAAGUACUUUUGGCAGGGAUGCGGUAACCGCAGAAUAAGCACCGGCUAACUCCGUGCCAGCAGCCGCGGUAAUUC